AUUUUUAGGACACUUAGGAGUUAAUUCUCCAGACAUUGAAUUGUGGUGCAUUAAAAGUUAAACUGCAAAAAUAGUACAAAACCCCUUUGUUGGAAAAAUUCCAUAUAACUAAAUCAACUACUAUCGACCGUUUUCAGUUCAUCCACAUUCACAUCUUAGUUAAUAAAACCUUUUGGCUCAAGGCAAGAAGCCACCAUUCAGC
Pelobates cultripes (western spadefoot toad) is the source of this 202-nucleotide non-coding RNA. NCBI's taxonomy places the organism in Eukaryota, Metazoa, Chordata, Amphibia, Anura, Pelobatidae. The record is from the annotation of a GenBank genome assembly.